UCUGCGAUUAAGCUAAUUUCUUAAUCUGCAGCAACCUUGAAAUAUCAACUCACGCAAUAACUUUAAACUAUAUUUGCCCCUGUCAUCGCCUCUAGAGAUCAGUAACAUUUUCUAAUCUGAUUCUCUGCAAGAACAAACCAGCCCAAAAAAAGGAAGCUUCAAACAAUAUGUUUUAUGACCCGAAUAAUAAAUUUAAAUGCAGUUUAAAAGUGCAUCUGCUUUGGACUCAAGUCCGGCCAGUGAUGUUUUUCUAGAUAAAGGCUAUCUGUUCGAGAAGUCUGUUCAGUAGUACAUUUGCGCUCGAGGUGAAGAGGCGUUUCAAAAAACAGGAGUUACAAUCGGAAAAAUUCUUAAACUUUUCUUAAAUAUUAUUCUAAACGGGUGAAAUUGGUUUGGUGCAGUGAGUGGGACCAUGGAGGAAAAGUGGAGAAUUUUUCGUUUGUUGUUGUGGAAGAAUUAUUUGAUUCGAAAGAGACAUUGGAAAGUGGCACUUUUUCUUCAAAUUUUGCUGCCCGUGUGUAUACUUCUGCUUUUGCAAAAAAUCAGAUCGGCACCUUGGGUUCGAAAAGAAAACGAAAAUGUUACAUAUUAUCCUAUAGAGACGAUGACGAAGGAAAGUCUUUUAGAAUUUGAUGAAGUUCGUCUCUAUUAUGCACCAGAAAAUAAUUUCACUAGGAAACUGAUGAAGCAAACCACACAGUGUCUCUCGAUUCAGCCUGCGAAUGUCACUGGAUUUCCUUCAGAAGAAGAAAUGUUGAAAAAGCAUUCUUUUGAUAACGGUUAUGAUUUUCAUGCUAAAAUUCUUGCCAUCAUAUUUCAUUAUGAUGAAUACGCUUCUGAUAAAUACCUUGAUUAUACCCUGAGAUCUUCUUACGACACUCCAACUAAUGUAUUAGGAGGUGUUUUCCGAGGUUAUAAUUAUUAUUAUGUUAAAUACAUUUUUGUGAGGAUUAUUCCAUACGUGCAAACACAAAUAUGCAUCGAUGAAGCUUUUAUUAAUAUGUCAGCUCCACAUGCUUCAUUUACGCGCAAGGUAACUCUACAACGGAUGCCUACGCGAAGAAACGCAAAACUAAACUCAGGUGACGAAGCAUCCAGAGUAAUGUUUUCUAUAACAGCUGUUGGAAUUUUUUUUGUAACAUUGUGCUUGGAAGCUUAUUUUUCUGCAAGCGAAAAGUAUAUAGGAGUCAACAUUCUAAUGGCGCUAAAUGGAUUAAAGUUUCAUAUGAACUUAUGCAGCUGGUUCGUGAGUGGUAUUUUAUAUAGCUUGUUUUAUACAACGACAAUAAUAAUAGUGAUGUCAGAAGCUUUUAACAACCCAAUUCUGCUUUAUGGAAAUUCAUUUAUUAUUUGGAUAUUUCUAUUUUUCCACGUUGCGCAUCUAAUUGCCUUUGGAAUGCAUAUCGCUUCUUACUUCUCAAAAUCUCUAACAAUGAUCAUUAUUCUUCUGAUCCUGUAUGGAGGAACUUCUUUGUUUCAAGCAUAUUUAAUAGAUAGUUUUAUAUAUUCAAUUAUACCAUACUUGGGAAUUUUUUUCCCCAACAUAUUGUUAUUUAGAAUGUUUCAAGAAAUGAACAUCUACGAAACACUGGUGAUGGGAGUUCAGUGGAGCAACAUGUUUCAAAUCGCUGAUUCCUCUUAUUCAGCUGCUGGCAGCAUCGGUAUCAUGAUAAUAUUUUCUAUUAUCGGUACUGUUCUACAUUUCUUUUUAUGUGUUCACAUUCACACGAUAUUUCCUGGAAAAUUCGGUAUUCAAAAACACCCACUCUACUUUUUACAGAAAGAAGCAAAGGUCUAUGCGGAAUUAGAUGAAGAAUUGGACGAAUUUAAUUACACUAACGACGCGGGAAAACCUUUUGAAAAAACGCCCAAGGGGAUCUUUACUCCUAGUAUACAAAUUCGCAAUAUUAAAAGAUCCUACACAACGGAUUUCUUAAAUAAAAAUACACAGGAAGCAUUAAAUGGAAUUUCCAUUGAUAUUUACAAAGGCCAAAUUACAACUGUGCUAGGCCACAAUGGGUCUGGAAAAACUACAAUGAUGUCUAUAUUAGCAGGUUUAUCCAGUCCUACCGAGGGAGUAGUACUUAUAGAUGGGAAAAGUAUAGAUGACUUUUUUAGAACUUUCUCGUCAGAUUUAAAUUUCUGUCCACAAGAAAAUAUGUUUUUUCCCUAUCUGACUGUGAUAGAACAAAUGGAAUUUUUCGGAAGGCUCAAAUGUAUAAACAAACCUGAGAGUGAACUAAAAAUUUUGUCUUUUCACAUCGACAAUUUAUUGAGAAAACUAAAAAUUUUUGACAAACGGAACUCUUCUCCUGGGGAAUUGUCCAUAAGUCAGCAAAGAAGAUUGUGUCUUGGCUUGUGUUUAAUAGCAAAUAAUGCCAAAAUUUUACUUUUCGAUGAGCCCACUUCUGGAAUGGAUGCUGAAAGCAAAAGGGAUACUUGGAAUAUGUUACUGGAAAUGCGAGGCGAAAAAACCAUCUUGAUCUGUACCCAGGACACAGAGGAAGCUGACAUACUUAGUGACAAGAUCGCCAUUCUUCAUUUGGGAAGGUUAAAAGGCUAUGGAACCCCAAUCUUUUUGAAGAAACUAUACGGUCAAGGAAAUAUCGAAGUCACAUUAUCGAUAACCACAUAUUGUGACACAGAAAUGGUUAGAAAACAACUGAGCAAAGAAGCUGAGCUUCUAAGAUUAGAAGAUGAAACAAUGGUUUUAUGUGUUCCAUACACAGACCAGUUAGCAGAAUCUUUAGAUGAAAUCGAAAGUAGAAAACGCGAGCUUGGCGUGUCUGCUGUAAACGUGUCUCUAAUUACGUUAGAACAAGUUUUUCUAAAGGUGACAAAAAAGGAGGAAGAUAUUGAUUUCACUCGGCCUUUCAUAAACCUAUCAUAUAGGUCGAAAGACUAUGAACUGUUAUUGCAAACUAUAUAUGCAUUAUUUGAGAAGAAUUUCAUAAAUGCCAGAAGAAGCUGGAGUAUACUUCUCUCUAUUAUGCUACUGCCGUUGAUAAGUAUUCUACUGAUGACACUGAAUUACUCUUCUCUUAAUGAGACGCGCGAGUCUAGAUCCUUAGACCUUGGUCUCUACAAUAAUCCGCAAGUUAUGCUUUCUACAAAUAAUGAAACUCUGCGCAACAAACUGAAAUUAUUGGCUGCUAGGGCUGGUGGGACCGUGGUUGACAUAAAUUCAAACCAGAAUCUACGGAAUGAAAUUCUGCAAUUUUCGGAAAAGGCUGUUUUUACAUUCCGAAAUCACCUGAUAACAGCCAUAGAGUUCAACACAACCGAAAAAUCAGUGAACGCUAAUGCUCUUUAUUCAGAAACCGCAUUAUUCAGCAUUCCUAUAGGAGUUAACUUAAUGUCAAAUGUUAUGAUAAAAUCAUUAGCAGGAGAUGAUUACCAUAUCCAUGUAUCAGAUCAAUUGCUUCCAAAACUCAGAACAUAUUUUCAGUACGAAUUAGUUGCACUAACCCUUUUACUUAUAUGCUUUCUCUAUCCGGCUGUGGCACUUUAUGUGCUUCAUCCAGCGAAAGAAGUCUCUUCUGGCGUUAAACACCUUCAAAUAAUGGCAGGAAUUUCUCCUAUAACAUACUGGGGUACUCAAUUUGUUUUUGACUUGUUUGUCUUCUUCAUUUCGGUAAUGUUUUGUUUGAUUGGGUUUCGCUUGAUGGAUCAGGCAGUCGACCUGGGGCUUUUCCAUGCAACCGAAUUAGCUGUUAUGGCGCUGCUACUUAUGUUGUUUGCUGUUAAUGUUCUACCACUUGUGUACAUAUUCAGUUUCGCGAAGAUGUCAAAGACUGCUCUCGUUACUCUUUUGAGCCUUGUACCUAUGAUUUUUCUCGCUAUUGAAGGACUAUCAUUGCUCAUAGAUUGGGAAUCGCGUCCCUUUUGUGUUCCUAAUGAAACCUGUGUAAGAAAUCCAUCUGCUUUUCUCACAUUCAGAGCGAUACAAAAGAGAAUAUUUCAACUUAUCCCACAUAUCAGUCUCUUUCACGGACAGAUUUCUUUUCUCACCACAGGAAUUGGAAAUGCCCACUGCCGAUAUUUGGCAAGCCAUCAAUUGGAUCGAUUGAAUGAACCUUUUUGUGAAGACCUGGAUUGUGUCAAUGGAACCUGUCACAAAAGCAUACCCUUCUUCAAAAGAGAUGCCAGAAUUAUGGAUGCGGAUGUAGCAUUGUAUGAAAGCGUUGCAUAUUUAUCCUUGACUCCAGUCAUAUACUUUGCUAUUUUAGCUGCAAUAGAACUCAAUCUAUUGCAAAGAGUGUUGGCGAGAUUGCUGAAUAAAAAGCCAAUAGUAAGCAACGAGGAAGUAGAUGAUCAAGUGCGGGAAGAGAAAUACUCCGUGGGAUUCGAAAUAAAUAAAUUAAAGUCCGAGAAAGCUUCCAAAAAAGCCAACAAGUUGAUGUCAGAUACUAUAAUUCUGCGUGAAAAUACAUUCUUAGUGCAUGAAUUAAGUAAAUGUUACAAAUCAAAGCCAAUUGUAUCAGACGUUAGUUUUUCCGUCAAAUCUGGCGAAUGCUUUGGAUUACUUGGUGUAAAUGGUGCAGGGAAAAGUACCACUUUUAGAAUGCUCACUGGCGAAGAACUUCCAAAUAGAGGUGACAUGUUUUUAAGAGGAAAAGACAUAUUCACUGAAAGAAGUGAGUAUCUUUCAAAAAUGGGUUAUUGUCCUCAAAAUGCAGCUCUAAUUGAUUCACUAAAUGUGAGAGACCAUCUGAGAUUAUUUGCAUUAAUUCGAGGAGUGCCAAAACAUCAAGUAGGCUCUGAGGUUGAAGAGUGGAUUAAUAGGCUUAAUUUGAGUGAAUGCGCUUCUCUACCAAGCGAGACAUAUAGUAUAGGAAACAAAAGAUGUUUAAACAUUGCAAUGGCUUUUAUUGGUCACCCUGAUUUGGUACUAUUGGAUGAGCCCACGACUGGGAUUGAUCCAGCCUCUCGAAAAUCACUUUGGAAUAUGAUUAAAUCAUUUCUAAGGGCCGGGCAAUCUGCUAUACUUACAUCACAGAGUAUGGAAGAAUGUGAAGCCUUGUGUAACCGACUAGCCAUAAUGUCAAAAGGUCGUCUUGUCUGUAUUGGACCAAGUCAAGAAUUGAAAGAACGUUUUGGCGAUGGAUAUAAUAUCCAUAUAGAAUUAAACCUUGAACGAACACAAGCUGAAGCGGAAGCUAUAAAAGCUGAUAUUGAAAAUGCUUUAAAUUGUGAACUUGGAGACGAACAUGUGGGAUAUAUGACCUUCUAUGUCACUAAUUCUAAAACACCAUGGAAAACAAUGUAUGAGUUGAUGAAUGGGUUGAAAUCUAAAUAUCCCUGUAUAAUAGAUUUCACCAUACUUUCAGCUACCUUGGAACAAGUGUUUCUGCGAUUCGCUAAAGCUGAUAGUAAUUAGUUCCUUUUUUUGCAAUAAUGUAUUGGUCGAAAAAAGAGAUGUACGUUUUAAAAUGGAAUGUUAAUUUCAGAUGUUUAUGUUUUCGCAUAAUAUUACGAAAGUCGAAAUGGAACUUGUAAGAGAAAGCUAGAUACCGCCCAGCCAAGCUGAGCGAGCCAUGACAAGGACAACACUACCGCUUCACGCCCGCGGUCGCAAGAUCUCCAGCGAUAGAUAAUAAGAAAAGUAACUACGCGGAACAAUAGCUUCAGCGAUAAGAAUCGAACCACAGAACUCCCGAUUGUCGUUAGGGUGCUUUUCCCUUAAGCUACUAAAGAGAUCGAAAGCAGAAUCCUUUUCCAGAAAAAAGGUAAUUUAAACAAAAUAAUUCAAAUCAGAGCUCUAU
Belonocnema kinseyi is the source of this 5765-nucleotide RNA transcript. It is a transcript of the gene named phospholipid-transporting ATPase ABCA1-like, with no coding region annotated. The record is from RefSeq and is a predicted model, not a curated record. The transcript is spliced from 26 exons. NCBI's taxonomy places the organism in Eukaryota, Metazoa, Arthropoda, Insecta, Hymenoptera, Cynipidae.